Molecule: long non-coding RNA, 579 nt
Filed under: Urocitellus parryii (Arctic ground squirrel)
Lineage: Eukaryota; Metazoa; Chordata; Mammalia; Rodentia; Sciuridae
Description: lncRNA (ENSUPAG00010000460.1)
Source: RNAcentral
UGUGCCCCAGGGGCACAGCAGGGCAGGGGCCUCCCCCACGCCAGCCUCACCUGCUGUGGCCGCCUCUGCCUGGUGGCUGCUGGGUUGUGGCAGGUCUAGGGAGUCCUGGGAGGGACACUCAGGUGGCUCCAGCAGCCGGCAGUCUGCAGGGCACGAGGGACGAGCCCGCUGGGUCCUGUGCAGAGGAGGGAGGCACAAACCUUUUGUGGAGACAGGACGGCUCUCCCGCCCUCUGUCCUUCUCGCCUCCCUCUGGCCCGCGCUCGGGUGGACGUCUCUGGACAAGAGCCCAAGGGCCUUCCUCAAGUUCCAGCUCUGCCGCAGGCGGCUGCUUGACAGCACCACUGGGAACCGCUGUUUCCUCUUCUGUCACAGGGUGCCCACCCCCCUGCACCAGGAGGAGAGACACAGAAGUCGGCCCGGUGUCGCGCACUCGCCGCGGGGACAUUCCUGGACUSGAGUCUUGGGCAGUUUGAGGCCCAGUCUGGUUGAACCCCCAGGUCAGAAGGUGCAAGGGCUCCAAGGACCCGCCCACCACCCGUGGCCAAGGACAUCCAGGGCCCGUCUGGGAGACCCGCCG